UACGGGGGGGGCAAGCGUUGUUCGGAAUUACUGGGCGUAAAGGGCUCGUAGGCGGCCAACUAAGUCGGACGUGAAAUCCCCAGGCUCAACCUGGGAACUGCGUCCGAUACUGGAUGGCUUGAAUCCGGGAGAGGGAUGCAGAAUUCCAGGUGUAGCGGUGAAAUGCGUAGAUAUCUGGAGGAAUACCGGUGGCGAAGGCGGUAUCCUGGACCGGCAUUGACGCUGAGGAGCGAAAGCCAGGGGAGCAAACGGG
Molecule: ribosomal RNA, 253 nt
Filed under: uncultured bacterium
Lineage: Bacteria
Description: partial 16S ribosomal RNA
Rfam family: Bacterial small subunit ribosomal RNA
Source: RNAcentral